CAAACGACCAUGAUGGGAAGAGUAAGCCGAUCCUCCUUAUUCCAGAGAGCCGGGGCAGCUGAAAACCGGUAUAAGCGAGCAAGCCGAACAUGGACCCAGAGUCUUGCAGAUGAACAGCCGCGACCAAACCGUCGUGCCCAGUAGUCUGUGACGUUGACCCGCGUUAAGGGUAGAGUCUGUUUUGGACUCACCAAGUCCGUUUUCCGCGAGGGAGACGGAGCAUUUGGGUGGUACCGCGAGUUAGAGCUCGCCCCAAUU
This 258-nucleotide non-coding RNA is filed under the name Brevibacillus parabrevis. RNAcentral's name for it is "T-box sequence". It matches the Rfam family "T-box leader". From Rfam's summary of the family: Uncharged tRNA acts as the effector for transcription antitermination of genes in the T-box leader family. T-boxes are found upstream of many aminoacyl-tRNA synthetase genes and some amino acid biosynthetic genes usually in Gram-positive bacteria. The anticodon of a specific tRNA base pairs to a specifier sequence within the T-box motif, and the NCCA acceptor tail of the tRNA base pairs to a conserved bulge in the T-box antiterminator hairpin. Lineage: Bacteria; Bacillati; Bacillota; Bacilli; Caryophanales; Paenibacillaceae. The record is from RNAcentral.